GCGCCUGUAGCUCAGUGGAUAGAGCACUGGUCUUCGGAACCAGGUGUCGGGGGUUCGAAUCCCUCCAGGCGCGCCA
RNAcentral lists this transfer RNA (76 nucleotides) under Chloroflexota bacterium. RNAcentral's name for it is "tRNA-Arg". It matches the Rfam family "tRNA". From Rfam's summary of the family: Transfer RNA (tRNA) molecules are approximately 80 nucleotides in length. Their secondary structure includes four short double-helical elements and three loops (D, anti-codon, and T loops). Further hydrogen bonds mediate the characteristic L-shaped molecular structure. tRNAs have two regions of fundamental functional importance: the anti-codon, which is responsible for specific mRNA codon recognition, and the 3' end, to which the tRNAs corresponding amino acid is attached (by aminoacyl-tRNA synthetases). tRNAs cope with the degeneracy of the genetic code in two manners: having more than one tRNA (with a specific anti-codon) for a particular amino acid; and 'wobble' base-pairing, i.e. permitting non-standard base-pairing at the 3rd anti-codon position. Lineage: Bacteria; Bacillati; Chloroflexota. The record is from RNAcentral. RNAcentral also lists the same sequence under 1 other name.